GCUUGAAGAAUUUUGGGGUUUUGGCGAAAUGGGUUUUUCUGGGUUUUUGUUUCUUGCUGGUAAAUCAGUGUUUGACCUAAUCAUUUUGGGUUUGAUUGGCAGAUUGUUUCUCUGUUAUUAAAACGAUUUGUAAAUUCUGAUGCCCCAAUCGUCACAAGCAGAAAGCUCUUGAAUAAGAAAUCAAGUUGAAUGCAUGGUAAGAUGAUGAAAAAGUUGUGGAAUUACUUGAAAUUUAACUGAGAUAGAGACUCUUGAAAUUAUGUUUAUUCAUUGUUGCAUGCGCUAGGGCUUUUUGUAAAUCGAGGGGCUAUUGAUUCGUUCUUGCAUCUGCUUAAUCCAUCUCUCCAAGGCAUUCUGCUGGCUGAGAAUGGUAUUUUGGUGUUCGGUGUAGAUUUGAGGGUCUGUUAGCAGGAUACCAGAUACCAGACUCCCAACUAAGGUCUAUUGAAGAGCAUGAGAAUGGUCAAGGUGUUGACCCUUCAUCAUUUUCAGAAAAGCUAAAAAUAGAGAACGCGACAGCCCGUCACAGACAACACUAGCUACAAAUGAAACAAACGAUGACACCUUGGAGGAUCUGGUGUAAAAAAGUUGUGUCAACUACAACCAUAGGCUACUUCUGUUGACACUAACCAAUUUUGUAACUAGCAUAUAACAAAAGGGAUUUGGUUAGAAGGUCAAUUUUUUGAAAAAUGUAAAUGGUAAGUAUGUCAUUAAACAAACCUGGUAGAAACACUAGCUUUUGAAAUAUUUAGAAUGUAUGAUGAAUGUAUAAUACUUAACGAGCAAGAUAACCCGCGGCAUCGCGCGGGAAGAAUUACCUAGUACUGAUAUUAAAGAUGGGUUUCCGGUUACUGUUACUAAGUCGUUUUGGUAUCGGCUCGAGCCGAGCCGUUUGUCGAAAUUACAUUUUCGUCCUUAUGUUGUGAUAAUUUAUAGUCUUGCCAUUAGUCCGUAUAGCGACGUAGCAGCGCCAGUCUUUCGCUCUUCUCGCCUCUGCAUCCGAAAUACGAAGAUUUCCAGUCACAGUCUCGAUCCCUACACGUCCUAUAUAUAUAAACAAAUAAUUUGACGAAGACGAAGAAGAAGAUCAAGAUAUAGACAUCAGAGGCCGCUUCACGAGCCAUAGGAUCACUGCCAUUCUGUGCCCGCUUGACUCCUGCAAAACCAGGUACCAAGCUGACGUCAGAGCCAAUGAUCAGGCCAAGGACAUGUACCAAUCUCUUUCAUCCUCAACUUUAUGAUCUGUGACAGCCCAUCACAUCCAAGAGCAAAUGAAGAACUCACUUUCACAGAAGAGGCCUCAAUAGCAUAUGAACCAACAGAUAACAUAUCCGAAGAAGUCAUGUAGAAUGAUUCGUUCAAACUCAAAAUGUAGAAUAUUUUGGCGAUAGCUUUGUAAUUUGUGUAUAAAGAACAUCUUCGGUUAGAAUAUCUCUUUCUUGAAAAAUUUAAAUACAGGAGCCUCCUCUUUCUCGAAUAAGCAUAUAUUCAUGUCUGGUUGAAAUACCAGUUUUUAUAAUAUGUAACAUAUUCCGUUAACAUCUCUUAGAUUGUGAUUGCUACUCUAUUGCCUAUAAAAUUUAGA
Long non-coding RNA from Rosa rugosa (rugosa rose), 1585 nucleotides. RefSeq lists it as uncharacterized. The record is from RefSeq and is a predicted model, not a curated record. NCBI's taxonomy places the organism in Eukaryota, Viridiplantae, Streptophyta, Magnoliopsida, Rosales, Rosaceae. The transcript is spliced from 6 exons.